This 468-nucleotide ribosomal RNA is filed under the name uncultured bacterium. RNAcentral describes it as "partial 16S ribosomal RNA". It matches the Rfam family "Bacterial small subunit ribosomal RNA", at positions 28 to 507 of the family's 1533-position model. The record is from RNAcentral.
GACGAACGCUGGCGGCGUGCUUAACACAUGCAAGUCGAACGGAAAGGCCCUGCUUUUGUGGGGUGCUCGAGUGGCGAACGGGUGAGUAACACGUGAGUAACCUGCCCUUGACUUUGGGAUAACUUCAGGAAACUGGGGCUAAUACCGGAUAUGAGCUCCUGCUGCAUGGUGGGGGUUGGAAAGUUUCGGCGGUUGGGGAUGGACUCGCGGCUUAUCAGCUUGUUGGUGGGGUAGUGGCUUACCAAGGCUUUGACGGGUAGCCGGCCUGAGAGGGUGACCGGCCACAUUGGGACUGAGAUACGGCCCAGACUCCUACGGGAGGCAGCAGUGGGGAAUAUUGCACAAUGGGCGGAAGCCUGAUGCAGCAACGCCGCGUGCGGGAUGACGGCCUUCGGGUUGUAAACCGAUUUCGCCUGUGACGAAGCGUGAGCGACGGUAAUGGGUAAAGAAGCACCGGCUAACUACGUG